AUGUGAUCUGUUAGAUUAGCAUGGCAGCCAUGUUUGAGGUUCACUUGCUUGGUCGAUGUCCGUAUCUUGGAAUCCUAGCUCACAAGCGGGGACCGUGGUCGGCAGGAGGAUAAGAAUCCGAAGUUGAGACUAGGCCCGACGUGGACUGGAGGAAGGGGAUCCAGAAGUCGACUAAAUGAGCUAGUAGUUUUGGAGCAAGUCAAUCAUAGGCCAAUGCC
RNAcentral lists this long non-coding RNA (218 nucleotides) under Elaeis guineensis (African oil palm). Its description in RNAcentral is "long non-coding RNA (EGUI_LNC001170)". The record is from RNAcentral. Lineage: Eukaryota; Viridiplantae; Streptophyta; Magnoliopsida; Arecales; Arecaceae.